CACCAGCGCCACGAGUGGCCAUCGCGAUUAUUGGGCUUAAAGCGUCCGUAGUCUGUUCUAUGCAUCUUCUGUGAAAUCGCUGCGCUUAACGUAGCGGCAUGCGGAAGACACGGUAGAACUUGAGACCGGGAGGCGUCAGAGGUACUCCGGGGGGACCGGUAAAAUGGUAUAAUCCCCGGAAGACCACCUGUGGCGAAGGCGUCUGACGAGAACGGAUCUGACGAUGAGGGACGAAAGCCAGGGGAGCAAA
Molecule: ribosomal RNA, 250 nt
Filed under: uncultured archaeon
Lineage: Archaea
Description: partial 16S ribosomal RNA
Rfam family: Archaeal small subunit ribosomal RNA
Source: RNAcentral